Molecule: ribosomal RNA, 255 nt
Filed under: uncultured bacterium
Lineage: Bacteria
Description: partial 16S ribosomal RNA
Rfam family: Bacterial small subunit ribosomal RNA
Source: RNAcentral
UACGUAGGUGACCAGCGUUGUCCGGAUUUACUGGGCGUAAAGAGCGCGCAGGCGGUCGUUCAAGUCGAGUGUGAAAGCCCCCGGCUCAACUGGGGAGGGUCACUCGAUACUGAUCGACUUGAAGGCAGGGGAGGGAAGCGGAAUUCCCGGUGUAGUGGUGAAAUGCGUAGAUAUCGGGAGGAACACCAGUGGCGAAGGCGGGCUUCCUGGCCUGUUCCUUGACGCUGAGGCGCGAAAGCUAGGGGAGCAAACGGG